GACGAGAAGCUCCGCGUUAGGUGGGGCUCAGGCAAGAGGCAAGAGUUAAGACUAAGGAAAUAGCCAGAUAAGGAAGGGCUUAUAAACCACAUGAAGAAGUGUGGAUUUUAUUCUGAAGGCAGUGGGAAGCCACUAAAGAAGAGAAGAAAAGUAGUAGCAUACCAAUGUUGAUUUUAGAAGACGAGGCAGCAAAGAACCCAUGGUCAAGUGCAGCUCUCAGAGACAAAGCUGUUUUCAAAGACCAGCUGAAUUGUAGCUCAGAAGAAAAAAAUGGAAAAGACAAGUAAACAUCCAGAAAUCUGGAAAGAAGAAAGAAAAUCUCAUGAAUGUAACUCUGACCUCAGCUGACUCAAAUAAAGGUGUUCAUUACCGAACGAUUAGAACCACCUACACAGGACAAAGUGAAUUUCUGAUCAACAGGUAGUAAUAGCAAACCCCCCUGAAAAGCUAAGAAGCAUUAGAGUGGAUUAUCCAUGAAGAGAGGAUUAGAAAAAGAGAGACUUGGAAUCCAGCAAACGAAACCCCAGCGGGCCAGCUGGCUAAUGUUUGGGAUAAUAAUUCCAAACGUAUUAAAAUAAAUUGUAAAAGAGAAAAGGCCGAAGGCAAUAAAAGCAAGCUUCACACGAUACUGUAUAUUGUGGAUAAAAUCAUGCACAUUCGCAAUAAUCACUUCCCCAGAGGCAAGCAAUACAGGCACCACCAGCAGAGCUGGGGAGAAUUUCAAGACACAAAGCCCGCUGUAUGCCAACAAGAGUUGCUGCAAGUGGGAGGACUUACAACAGAGUCUGCCUAAUAGCCACCGUUCUGGUCCGUUUUUUCCCUGUGGCCUGAGCACUGUCUCAUGCACGAUGUUGAAAUGGGAACGCAAUAGCAGGGUAGGCAACUUCACUCCUCCGCAGUCUUAAAUGCGGUAUUGCUCAAGGAUCUUAUUCCCCUAAGCAGGGAGAGAAAUGCCUUUUCUUUUUUCUCACUUAUGGAGUUUCUCCAGCGACACAGAUCAGCUCUUGUUGGUCUUGUUCACCUCAGCGAGUAGAAUUAAGAAGCUGACAGGAGCGUCGAGCCAUCCAUUUUUGUUUUUACCAUAUCCAGAGCCUGCCACCAUUUUUUAUCUCGAGUAUCUGCUAUUUUCUGGCCCGUUUGAGGUGGCCUUGUUACUUCUAGGAAAUCUGUAAAUGCUAUUUAUUGAAAUGCUCCCCAUAAUUUUUCCAUUUUUAGUUUAGGCCAAUGAAAUAUAACAACUGGCUUAAGCUAGGGGAAAAUCGUAGGGCUAAAUGUUUCUGUAAUUAUAGGCUCCUUCUUAAAUGUUUUUUUGUGAAGUCUGAAAUUCCUUUAUCCUUAAUUUUUGAGUAACUGAUGGAGUCCUUACUGAGGACUUCCCUUCCUGCGUUGAUUUGAGAGUGUGUGAUGAGUCCUCGGUUCAAGUUAGUACCGUUCAUCCAUCCAUUCCAUCUAAUUAUUAAGUACCUAACCCGCAGUGGGCACUGUUCAAGGUGAAAUGAGUACCAGAUGCAUAAAACAUGGUUCUAGUCUUCCAGCUUUUAUGGUUUAUCAGGGAAACAGACAUGCGAUGAGUAGUCAGAGCAAUGGUUUAAGAAAAAGAAUACAGGCUUUCAGAGAGUUCUACAGGAAAUCCAAAGAGAAAGCUCCUGAUUCUUUUUAACGAGGACUCAAAGAAAUCUCUGGAGACGAUUUGAACAUGAAUUAACCUCAAAGAAAGAGUAAGAAGCUAGAGGUCAAAGCUAUGCGGGGAAAGGACAUGCCAGGGAAAGAAGGAGAAGAAACGCAUGUGAAGAUUACCCCUAAGCUAACAUCUGCCACCAAUCCUCCUCUUUUUGCUAAGGAAGACUGGCCCUGAGCUAACAUCCAUGCCCAUCUUCCUCUACUUUAUUUGUGGGACACCUGCC
RNAcentral lists this long non-coding RNA (1904 nucleotides) under Equus caballus (horse). RNAcentral describes it as "lncRNA (ENSECAG00000044166.1)". Lineage: Eukaryota; Metazoa; Chordata; Mammalia; Perissodactyla; Equidae. The record is from RNAcentral.